RNAcentral lists this ribosomal RNA (512 nucleotides) under Escherichia coli. RNAcentral describes it as "partial 23S ribosomal RNA". It matches the Rfam family "Bacterial large subunit ribosomal RNA", at positions 421 to 934 of the family's 2925-position model. Lineage: Bacteria; Pseudomonadati; Pseudomonadota; Gammaproteobacteria; Enterobacterales; Enterobacteriaceae. The record is from RNAcentral.
GACACGUGGUAUCCUGUCUGAAUAUGGGGGGACCAUCCUCCAAGGCUAAAUACUCCUGACUGACCGAUAGUGAACCAGUACCGUGAGGGAAAGGCGAAAAGAACCCCGGCGAGGGGAGUGAAAAAGAACCUGAAACCGUGUACGUACAAGCAGUGGGAGCACGCUUAGGCGUGUGACUGCGUACCUUUUGUAUAAUGGGUCAGCGACUUAUAUUCUGUAGCAAGGUUAACCGAAUAGGGGAGCCGAAGGGAAACCGAGUCUUAACUGGGCGUUAAGUUGCAGGGUAUAGACCCGAAACCCGGUGAUCUAGCCAUGGGCAGGUUGAAGGUUGGGUAACACUAACUGGAGGACCGAACCGACUAAUGUUGAAAAAUUAGCGGAUGACUUGUGGCUGGGGGUGAAAGGCCAAUCAAACCGGGAGAUAGCUGGUUCUCCCCGAAAGCUAUUUAGGUAGCGCCUCGUGAAUUCAUCUCCGGGGGUAGAGCACUGUUUCGGCAAGGGGGUCAUCCCGA